GUGGGGAAUAUUGGACAAUGGGGGGAACCCUGAUCCAGCCAUGCCGCGUGUGUGAAGAAGGCCUUUUGGUUGUAAAGCACUUUAAGCGAGGAGGAGGCUACCGAGAUUAAUACUCUUGGAUAGUGGACGUUACUCGCAGAAUAAGCACCGGCUAACUCUGUGCCAGCAGCCGCGGUAAUACAGAGGGUGCAAGCGUUAAUCGGAUUUACUGGGCGUAAAGCGCGCGUAGGUGGCCACUUAAGUCAAAUGUGAAAUCCCCGAGCUUAACUUGGGAAUUGCAUUCGAUACUGGUUGGCUAGAGUAUGGGAGAGGAUGGUAGAAUUCCAGGUGUAGCGGUGAAAUGCGUAGAGAUCUGGAGGAAUACCGAUGGCGAAGGCAGCCAUCUGGCCUAAUACUGACACUGAGGUGCGAAAGCAUGGGGAGCAAACAGGAUUAGAAACCCGUGUAGUCC
Molecule: ribosomal RNA, 451 nt
Filed under: uncultured bacterium
Lineage: Bacteria
Description: partial 16S ribosomal RNA
Rfam family: Bacterial small subunit ribosomal RNA
Source: RNAcentral